RNAcentral lists this ribosomal RNA (373 nucleotides) under uncultured organism. Its description in RNAcentral is "partial 16S ribosomal RNA". It matches the Rfam family "Bacterial small subunit ribosomal RNA", at positions 526 to 896 of the family's 1533-position model. The record is from RNAcentral.
AGAGGGGUGCAAGCGUUAAUCGGAAUUACUGGGCGUAAAGCGCACGUAGGUGGAAUAUUAAGUUGGGUUGUGAAAGCCCCGGGCUUAACCUGGGAUGGUCAUCCAAAACUGGUAUUCUAGAGUAUGGUAGAGGGAAGUGGAAUUUCCGGUGUAGCGGUGAAAUGUGUAGAUAUCGGAAGGAACACCAGUGGCGAAGGCGGCUUCCUGGACUAAUACUGACACUGAGGUGCGAAAGUGUGGGUAGCAAACAGGAUUAGAUACCCUGGUAGUCCACGCCGUAAACGAUGAGAACUAGCUGUUGGUGAUAUAUAAAUCAUUAGUGGCGCAGCUAACGCGUUAAGUUCUCCGCCUGGGGAGUACGGCCGCAAGGUUA